CCACCCCCCCCCCCCCCCCACACACACACAUGAUAUUUGCCAGUCCAGGCAAUGUCAACCGCAAGAGAAAACCAGUGAUGACAAGUUUUACAAAUAAUCGGAAAGUGUGGUCUUUUGAAGAGAGUUCUUGAAGUUGUUCAGCAUGUUGUUUUGAUGGAUUCUUGGAAGGAUGUACCUCUAUGAUGUUAGCUUCAGUUCUGGAGUAUAACACCAGUUGUUGCAUAUUUAAUAUCAGAUUUAUUAAAUACAUUGUUGUUUUGCAAACAUUACUUAAACUUUGAUAUUGCUUUGGUGUUUAUGUAUGAUAUUGUAGGUGAAUAUCUCUUUAUUGCAAUGGCAAAUAUAUUUUAAAAUAUAUAGCAUUAGCAGAAGUUAUUUUUCACUGUUAAAGCUGCACUUUCACAGAUUGAUCACUUUGACAACUUACACAGGAUUUGAUUGCAUUAAUUUAUCAUAUUUUGGCUCGGAGAAGUUUGCUUUGUGAUUUAUAUAUUAGGUCUUAAUUUAAAGAAUGCCAAAAUAAAACGAUUCUGAGACAAAAAGUGUCAAACUAGAAUUCUGUGAGAGUGCAACUUUAAGAAUACUAUUAAUCGAGUGUGCAUGUGAUCCGGACUCUGAACAUUGGAUGAACUAUCAUUAAAUAUUGUAGAUUUACGUAAAUGGCCCAAAAUAUAAGAAUAACAAUGAAAAUAUGUACA
Mya arenaria is the source of this 698-nucleotide long non-coding RNA. RefSeq lists it as uncharacterized. The record is from RefSeq and is a predicted model, not a curated record. The transcript has 2 exons. NCBI's taxonomy places the organism in Eukaryota, Metazoa, Mollusca, Bivalvia, Myida, Myidae.